RNAcentral lists this long non-coding RNA (1339 nucleotides) under Homo sapiens (human). Its description in RNAcentral is "non-protein coding lnc-FAM120B-3:3". Lineage: Eukaryota; Metazoa; Chordata; Mammalia; Primates; Hominidae. The record is from RNAcentral.
GAACCACCUCCGCCUGCCCCUCAAUCUUGGCCUCCAACUUCCCAGUUUCUAUUUCAACCAGAAGAGAAAAUGCUGAGCCCUCACUGACCAUGGGAGAGUCAGCUGCUCAGCUGCUCAACCCCGCGGCCUCAGAAGGGGCAGAGGUCUCAGGCCUACCGGCCUGUGGUGGCCUCCUUAUUCUCCAGAGCCGUCCUGGGCCAGGGGCCGCCCAGCCCACUGCCCGAGCCAAGCACCCUCCCCGCUAGGGCCAGACGGAACCCCAUGUGGGGUGAAGGCAGAGCCAAGCUGAAAACCAAGGAGAGGCUGUACCCAGGCAGUCCCAGCCACCUGCAAGGGGCAGCACCGUCCAAGAUUCCGUCGAGCGGCGAGGCCAGCACCCCCAAGUCCUGGGCCGGACACCAGAUGCCAGAGCUUCACGGAGCCCCUCACCCACCUGCUCACCUCAGCGGCUGGCACCAAGGCGCCAACAGCAUCCCACAGCUGGGGAGGAAAACUGGAAUGCAGGCCCCCAGUGCCAGCAGGGCUCGCUGUGAAAGGAGAGGGCCGGGGGCCUCCCAAGGAGAACUUCGGGGGACUCUUCCCACUCCCUCACUCUGCGGCUACAGAGCCCCCCAGCCGGCUUGGGAGCGGAGAGGAUUCUGGGCUCGGCCCCUGGAGGGAGAACGCAGCCCCCCUGAGCUCUGAAGCAGCACCGGGCUGUGGCUCAGAGGGGCGGGCAGCUCCUUGUGAACGAGGCCCUUCUCAGGAGUUCCCACAGACGAAGCCAUCCCACUACACAAACAGCCCCUAACGACCCUUUUCUGAAACCAAAUUUAAAACGAGACGGCAGGAAAAUGGAAGGGGUCCUGCUCCCGCCGCGGCUUGCCUCACUCGUAAGUGUCGGCAGCUGCUGCUCGCUUCUCAAGGUCGAAAGGAGCCCCCUGGACAGGACUCAGCAGGACAACGGGGCAACCUUCCAAUUUCAAAGAAAACCGCUGCCCUGCCCGGCGUGGGCCCUGCGGGGCCUGAGCCUCGCGGCCUGAGGCCUGCCCCCUCCGCAGGGCUCCUCCCCAGCUCAGCCCCGUCCCGGACUCAGGGGGGCCCUGGAAGGGCGGGGGCGCCUGGGAAGGACGGGAGGGGUGGGGGCGGCGCACAGCGGCCAGGGACGGAGACUCUGGGAGCCGGGGGGACCCACAGAGGGCAGGGAGGCCAUGGCUUCCAGGCGGGGCUGCCCAUGAGUUCUGUGUCCGCCCCCGGCAGGGCUCGACCCUGGUGCGUCCCCAGCAUGUUUCUUGGGGGCGCUGGAGGCUGCUGAUGCUGCCCAGAGUGGCCGGACACUCCUGCCCGAGGCCUCCUUCCG